Molecule: ribosomal RNA, 496 nt
Filed under: uncultured bacterium
Lineage: Bacteria
Description: partial 16S ribosomal RNA
Rfam family: Bacterial small subunit ribosomal RNA
Source: RNAcentral
GAUGAACGCUGGCGGCGUGCCUAAUACAUGCAAGUCGAGCGAACAGACGAGGAGCUUGCUCCUCUGACGUUAGCGGCGGACGGGUGAGUAACACGUGGAUAACCUACCUAUAAGACUGGGAUAACUUCGGGAAACCGGAGCUAAUACCGGAUAAUAUAUUGAACCGCAUGGUUCAAUAGUGAAAGACGGUUUUGCUGUCACUUAUAGAUGGAUCCGCGCCGCAUUAGCUAGUUGGUAAGGUAACGGCUUACCAAGGCAACGAUGCGUAGCCGACCUGAGAGGGUGAUCGGCCACACUGGAACUGAGACACGGUCCAGACCCUACGGGAGGCAGCAGUAGGGAAUCUUCCGCAAUGGGCGAAAGCUUGACGGAGCAACGCCGCGUGAGUGAUGAAGGUCUUCGGAUCGUAAAACUCUGUUAUUAGGGAAGAACAAAUGUGUAAGUAACUAUGCACGUCUUGACGGUACCUAAUCAGAAAGCCACGGCUAACUACGUG